UACACAUAGACACAGUCCCAAAUGUUCAAUUAUUACAAACAUGAUUCAUCCUAACACUACAACAUAAUAACCACUAUGUUGCUACACCUAUAUUCAAACCAACAAGGGAAAUGGGAAAAGAAAAAUAAACAAAAAAAGUGUAAAUGACAACAAGAUCUUCACAUUUGAUAGUAUAUUUCACUUUGAACUUCACAUAUACAUGAGCUUUAGAUGGUACCUGUAAUGCAUCAGAGGAAAUAGCCUAUGAGUAAAUAGAAGGGACCAGCUAAAUAACCAAUAGCCAAUAAAACAGUAUAUCCAGAUUUCAGCAGAGUUUUGGAGAGUUAAAUCUUCAGAAAAUGAUUCAAAACAAUCCUAAUGGUAUUUUCAGAUCUAGAAUUAGUAUUUCAGCUUUAAAAUUGUAGAGAAAAGUUCCAGAUCAGUAUUUUCAUCUCUAUUGUUAAAGAUAAAGGUUUUGGGAUCCCCUCUAAUACCCCAUAUGGUUCAAUUUAUAGCAAAACUGUUAGGGCAUCAGAUUUUUACUAGUUUCUUUCAGUCCUUAUCUCAAAUUGUAUUUUUUGCCUAAGUAGUCCUUCAAUUCUUAACUUGUGCUUCAAAUUUGAGGCUUGAAUUAUGUAUUACUCCCUAAUGGAAAGUUCUACAGGAUUCUUAUCAGAUUUUUAUAAUUUUGAAUCCCUUUUAUACCCUUAGUAACAUUCCUAAAUUACCCUACCCCUGAACCUGUCCCCAGUCAGCUCCAUUAACCCUAGUUCAUCCCUAACUAAAGUUGGUCAGCUAAAUUCAGAUCACCUUUUAAACUAAACAACUUGUGAUUAUCAAAACUUGCCAAAAUUGACAAGCUAAUUAUAACAGGCAUUCAGUGACACAAUCCAUCAAACCAAUCAAGAAAUCAGUAUAAUUCAUCAAAUUAUAAGAAUCAUAUCACUUAAAAGCUAAUUGUAACAGGAUGCUGAAUUAACGACAAACAAACAAGCCUGUGAACAUUAAACCCUAAUCUUAGGAGAACUUUUGUGGACAACCAUACAAACAACAAAAUUAAAAGAAAUGCAGACUAUAAAACAUGUACUAGCCUAAUCAAUUAUUCCAGGCUUAGUGACAAAUAAAAAAACAUGAAUAUUGAACCCUAAUUUCCAGAAGAAUUACUAGAAUCGAAUAAAGGAGUUCAGACUUUAAUUGAACCCAAUCAGUUAUAAAAAAACUAAAGAAAAAUGAAAAAUUCAGAUGCUAGUGACAAACAAACAAGCAUGAAUAUUUCACCCUAAUUAGUUAUCAAAAGCUAACGAAAAAAAUGAAAGAUAGCAGAAAUCUUAGCUCUCUUUUUUGUUCUUGUUUAAAUCAAGUCAACCGGAUCUUGGCCCCUUUCAUAUGGUUCUGAACUCUCUAAGAUGGUGUAUCAUCGAUUUAAAGGACUCAGGGGAGUCUCCAGGAUUUUGAGACCUUAAAUAGGUCUCAGAUUUGGAUUUGUUAAUGGUUGAGGGUGUUUGGGGGUCAAGGGUGGCAUGGUUAGAGUCACUAGGGUUUAGGGAUUGCCUGGGAACAUUUUGUGGCCUUUUUGGCAUGUUUGGGGACUUAGGGUUGGGUUUCAGACUAAGAUUCGAAGAGUCUCAGGAAGAUUUGAGAAUGGUGGUGUGCAUGGUUGGAACGGGGAGGUCGAGGUGUCUUAGUGGUGUAUUUUUGGGACGCUUUGGGAUAGGGGUCAUCGGAGGUGGGGUUUCCGCCCACCUUAAAAGAGGUAUUCGAGAUGAAGGGGUGGUAUUCGAAGAUAACUUAUUAUGGGACGGGGUAGAGGAAGCCAUGGUGGUUAAAUGGUGUAAUUUUGGGGCUGUUUGGUUGCCGGUUGCCGCCGUGAGGCAAUUUCUGACGGCGGUAGUAGGGUGGUCAAGUGGUGGUCAUCGGUGGCGUUGUGGGUAGUCUAUGGGUGUUGACGGGGUUGUCAAUGAUCGGCGGUGGAGAUACGAGGAAUGUGAUUUUGGUCGUGUGUAUACUGAAACGGUUUGGACAUAUAUGUAUGGAUUGAAGUGGGGGUUUGGUAGCCGUUGGAUUGUGUGGGGAUCGACGCCUAUGAUGGAAAGGGCUCUAAAUGACGUCGUUUGGAUUGAUGUGGGUGUGGACUGACUGGCUGAUCGUUUGGGCUUGUUUGUAUGGGUUCAGAGACGGAACAAAUAUGGCCACUCAGGUCUGGCCCAAUUGUGGCCAGCCUGAGUGGUCUCCUAUAUAUGUAUACAUGUAUUGUAUUUUUUUAUUAUUAAUUUUUGUCUUUUCUUUUAACUAAAAGUAAUUAAUAAAUUAAUUUAAAAACCACAAAUCGCAAAUAAAAUUAAAACCAAUCAAAAAUGAAUAAACACAAAUUCAAGUGCUGGCACAAUAUAUAUUUUAUAUUUUAAUUUAGGAAACAAGUUUAUUUAACAAUUAAAACCAUAAUUAAUCCUGACACGCAGUAAUGAACAUGCAUAUACAGUUAAUGUCAAAAAAUUAAAAUCCUAAUAUGUUAAAAGAGAAAAUCCUAAACGUUAAGUGUCCCGUAGGAGUUUGUUUCGACUGGUCAAAAAUCAUAUGCUUACAGUCUAAUUGGAUUCUUUUUUAUUGGUCUUUUUACGAUCAUAUUCCUUGUUGGUUGUUCCACUGAUUCUUUUUGUGGGCUCCUUUUGUGGCGCCUACGAUGAGUCACCAACGUCCAACCUUCAUCAUCAUCAGGUUNNNNNNNNNNNNNNNNNNNNNNNNNNNNNNNNNNNNNNNNNNNNNNNNNNNNNNNNNNNNUAGUUGACUUCAGCUUUGUUGCUCUCCAGUAAUUCUUUACCUUUGCUUUCUUUAAAACCACAUAAUUCAUUCGGACUGAAUGAGCCAAAGGUGAUGGAGACUUGGUUAGCACCUGCUUUCUCAUCUUCAAGCACGAUCUUCUUUUCACGAGCCAAGUCCAUGACUUUAUCCUUGAAGAAAAAGCACUUCUCCAGAUGGUGGCUUAUAAGUCGAUGAUAUUUGCAGUAAUUUGGGUCAGUUGUUUUCCCAGCUUCAUUUGUUCGCUUCAUUUUCGGAAGCUCAAUAAGAUUUAACUCCAGGAGAUCUUCGAAAAUGGCUGGCACAUCAGAAUCUAGGAAUGGGUACUGUUUCUCCUGCAUUUUUUUUGGAGUCAACUUUCCACUUGGCUUGUCUUGAAAAGAAGUAGAUUUCAUACUCUGCUUCUUGCUCACCUUCAUCAUGAACUUCAUAGGUGAUGUGUUGACAUUCAUAGCUUCUUUGCUUUCAGACUUGGGUACGAACUUGCCCCACUUCCUAACUUCUUGCUUGCCAUUCGCUUUGCGAGGUUCAAAGAUGGGCAACCUUUCAUUUCCGGCGGAGGCCAUACUCAAUUACAUGUCAUGGGCACGAGUUGCAAGUUCUUCAAAUGUGCUAGGCUUGAUACCUUGCAAGAUGUAGCGCAAUCCCCAAUGCAUGCCUUGGAUGCACAUCUCUUUGCAAGUUCUUCAAAUGUGCUAGGCUUGAUACCUUGCAAGAUGUAGCGCAAUCCCCAAUGCAUGUCUUGGAUGCACAUCUCUAUGCCCGAAGCUUCACUAAGCAUGUCCUUGCAGUUGAGGCUUGCAUUCCUCCAACGAUUGAUAAAGUCGACCGGUUCCCCCUUUCUUUGAUGAGUAUUUGUGAGCUCUAUCAUACUCACAGUGUGUCUCGUGCUAUAAAAGCGAUUGAGGAACUCUUGCUCUAGUUGAUCCCAACUAUCGAUUGAUCCAUCCUCGAGGUCGGUGUACCAAUCAAAAGCGUUUCCUUUUAAUGAGCGGACAAAUUGUUUGAUGAGGUAGUCUCCAUAAGUCCCAGCAUUGUUGCAUGUCUCAACAAAGUGCGCUACAUGUUGCUUUGGGUUACCUUUAUCAUCAAACUGUUGAAACUUUGGAGGUUGACAGCCAGCAGGCAUCUUCAACAUAUCGACCCUCGCAGUGUACGGCUUUGCAUAUGUAAGGAAGACUUAGCAGCAACUUCAUAUUUGUUCUAGAUGGUUCCUUCAAUGAACUCCUUCAAUUGAUCAAUUGGAAUCAUCCCUUCAGAUGAGAUAGGGAUAUCCUUAGUGGAUGCUGCUUGUCUCGGCGGAGAGUCGCUCUCUAGAACUUUUGGGAGCUUGCCGGGUGCUAGGGUAGAUUCUUCCUCCAUCAAGAUUCCCACCUUGUCUGUUAGCUUGUCAAUUCUAGCCUCUUUAUUUUGCAUGCAUUUAGUCAAGCCAGCGAUUGCUUCCGUCAAAUUUGCCAACUGCUCCUCCAUGGAUGAAGUGUUUCUCACCAUGGCUUGCAUGAUUGCCGUGGAUGAUGAAGAGUAGCAUGGAUUUUCACACAGAUUGAUCCUUGAUUGGAUCGCGUUAUAUGGUGUAAGUGGGGAGGAUCCAUCACUUGAAGCAUCAUCAUCUUCCUUCACAGCAGAGUGCUUGGAGCUGGAGAGAUCAAGCAGAGCUAGUGUUUUCCUGAUCUUUUCAGCAACAUCGCUUCCUCAUUCAGAUGCGCUUGUGGCAGAUCUUGCUCCUUUUGAGGAUGAACAUCUGAAAACAAGGGUUAAUGCGGACGACGCUUGGGGUGCAUGUUGUCCUAAAUAGCUUGCUUUGCUCCUCGUAAUUGGGCCGAAGGUUACAAAAGUGAUAUAGAGGAUGCUUUCCACAUCAACGUAGAACCUGGAAUUAGCAGCCUUGGUGGAAGUUGAACCGGAGUUGAUUUUCUUUGGAGCCAUUUCAAUGUUCUUGAACUUUGGUAAUUGAAAAGUUGAGAUGAGGGGUAGAGAUUCCCACUGGGCGUGUCAGAAUUACUAGACAAUAAAUUUUUGUCAAGAAAAUAAAAUUAAGACCAAAAAAUAUUGUAACAAUCGUAGUAUUUUUAUUUCGAAUAUUUGAGUAUGCUUGUUGACAAUAAAUUUGUGACGAGAAAAUAAAAUCAAGACCGAGAAAUAUCGCAACAAUCGUAGUAUUUUAUUUCGAAUAUUUGAGUGUACAAUCUCUAUUAAUCCUCUUAUUCUUCUUUCCAAUGGUAAAUAAAUGCAAGGGCCUUGGAGUUUGAUCUUGGAUCUAUAUUUGUUGCCAUAAUCCUCUUAUUCUUCUUUCCAAUGGUAAAUAAAUGCAAGGGCCUUGGAGUUUGAUCUUGAAUCUAUAUUUGUUGCCAGGAACGAUGAUCUUGUUCUUGAGCUCGAAAUUGCUUGUUCUUCGUUCUUGAGCUUGAACUUGAUUGCUUGAACGUGAACUUGAUUGCUUGAACGUGAACUUGAUUGCUUGAAGCUUGAAAUUGUGGAGAAAUUUGCAGCGUUAGAUCCACGAGCUCUUUCUUGCUUCUUGUUAUAACUUCUGGUGUCUUUUCUGAGUUAUGAAUGCCCCUAUUUAUAGUUGUGGAAGGGAAGAGUCAUGAUAAGAACAAACUCCUUCCGACCAAUCAAAUUCGACUAUGUUCUUGAUCUUGAAUACUUGUAUUGUUCUUCGUUCUUGAGCUUAAACUUGAUUUCUUGAACUUGAACUUGAUUACUUGAAGCUUGAAACUUGUAAAGACAUUUACGGUGUUUGAUCCACGAGAUCUCUCUUGCUUCUUGUUAUAACUUCUGGUGUCUUUUUUGAGUUAUGAAGACCCCUAUUUAUAGUUGUGGGAAGGAAGAAUUAUGAUAAGAACAAAUUCUUUCCGGCCAAUCAAAUUGAAGUGUGACAUGGUCACAUUUUAUUGGCCAGAACAUGUCACUUGCACACGUGACGCGAUUUCAUUGGCCUUUUAGUGUGACUUGGCAUGCCUUGUCAUUUUGACACGUGGCAUGAUCCUAAUAGCUCUUCCGUUUGCCUUGGCGUGCCACGUCAUUUGACACGUGGCACCAAACUGGGCCUCUAGGAAGAUGACAUCUUGGUCUUAGUGAAGUGGGCUCAUCACUUUAGAUUGGACUAGCCCAAUGGAUUAAGACUUAUUUAUUUCGUUUAUAUAUAUUGGACUUAUAUUAUUAAUUUAAUUAUAUUAUAUUAGUCCGUAGUAUUUAUUUGAACUAAUAUAUCUCGGAUGUAAAAUAUAGUCCAAAUUAUUUUAUAGAUUUAAUUUUAAAUAAAAUUUAUAUUCUUACAAUGUUGAAUGAAUACUUGAUUAUUUUUUUCUGUCUAUAUUCUUGCUUUCCAUUUUUGUGGCAAUUCUAACCUGAGAAUCGCUACACUAUCUAAUGCAGACGGUAAAGAUAAUUUCCUUUCACAUACUCUUAUCAAGCAUGGGACAACUGACCAUCUUUAUAAAGUUACUCCCUCCGAUCAAUUUAAAGUGUUUUUUUUUUGCGCUUUUUAUACAUAUUAUUUUUAAUAUUAAUUAAUAAUAAAAUUAAAUAUAUUAACUUUAAUCUGCUUAUUAGAAAUAUAAUAAACUAUUUCUGGACUCUUUAUUCAAGUGCGACUUUUGAAAAAAAAAGUUAAUUUCUUCUUAAUAUUCGAAAGAAUUAUUAUUAUAAAUCACAACAAAGAAAAAACUAAAAAUUCACUUAAAAUAGAACAAAGGGAGUAUUAAUGCGGCUUCUCUUACUUUAUUCGUCAUGCUAGAUUACAGGGAAGAGUUGUUUAAUUUGUUUCAUAAAUAUGGGUAUUUGGAGCCUGUCACAUUUUUGUUCGAAAUACCAAUUAGGAAAGAAACAAAAUUUGUUACUUUAGACCUUCAUCGCCUUUUACACUUCCCGUUUUUUAAGACUAGUAUCUCGCACGUUGUACGGAGAUUAUUAAAUAUAAUUUUAUCAUAAAAAAUAUUAGUGGAAAAAUAUGGUAAAGACAAAGAAGUGUGAAAGAAUUUCAAUUUUGUUAUAUUUAAUGGCUAGUUCGUUAUAUAUGUUGGAAUGUUUUUGCUCUUUAUAAUAUUUAUGUAUAAAAUUGAUACUCAUUGUAUGUUUCAAACAAAGAUUCAAGAAUUUAUCAAGUUCGCAGCGUGAUUUUACUUUAAACUCAAUUAGAGGAUAGAUCUCUUUAGAUGCCGAUCUAAGUAAAUCAAUAUUAUCCUAGCGAUCUCCCCAUCAAUUUUUCAAUAUCCAUCUUCAAACACCUUAUAUGAUAGAAAAGGCGCAUAAACAAAAUAGGCAAGUAGAUAGUAUAACAGAAUAUAUACAUCACAUGCUAUCUUGAAAGCAUAAGUUGAAACAAAAUUUUUAAUUUCACAAUAGAUUCCUUCAAUUAGUUAGCAGUGUAGGAACUUAUAGGCACAUUAUUGCUAUGUUAUUUUUUAAGUCAGUUCCUCAUCAGGAGCAUCUCGAGAAAAUACUUGCUAGUAAUUUUUGGUGUAUUUGACAAUAAUGGAUCAUAAAUGUUUUGAUAGUAUCUCAACUCCAAAUAAAACCUGAAAGUUAGGUGUCUUAUGAAUCUAUUUAGGUGGUGUAAACUCUCGUAUAAGUAGCAUUAUCUAUUUUACAGACAUUAUAAGCUCCAUAGUCCUACACUAAAUCUCAUGUAUUUGAGCUAACGGAAUGAGUCGCUUAAUCCUACAUAUUCUUGGUCCCCUCAAUGAAUCUAUUUACUCUAUCAAAAAGCAUAAAGUAAUCUCUUAAUUCAAGAAAUAACUCAGGGGAAUACUUCAAUCUCAUGUAUGUGAAACAUUGAUGAUAACUCCAUUGAUCUCUUGGCAACCAAUAAAUAAGGAAAACAGAAAAAUAUGGGAUAAAUAUUUUACUGAAAAUUGAUCAAAUUAUAAAAAAUAGACAAUUUUAGUGCCUAACCGGUAGAGAUGACCAUCUGCUUGGUUUGGGAGACAUCCAACAGAAGCCAACUUCAUAUAUCUUGCAAUCAUCCUCUAUGAUGUUAACUGUGGGAUAGAUAAACUAAUUUUGCAUCACAUAAGGGUUAGAUUGUUUAAAAAUAGGGGAAGGAAUAGAAUUUGAUUUCCAUUCUGGAAAAAGAUAAUGGUAGUUCAGUCAAGUGUGCAAUUCUAUUUUACAUAAUUUUAUUGAUAAAAGACAACU
This 7914-nucleotide long non-coding RNA is filed under the name Nicotiana benthamiana. Its description in RNAcentral is "long non-coding RNA (NBEN_LNC018346)". Lineage: Eukaryota; Viridiplantae; Streptophyta; Magnoliopsida; Solanales; Solanaceae. The record is from RNAcentral.